Molecule: non-coding RNA, 4001 nt
Organism: Rattus norvegicus (Norway rat)
Lineage: Eukaryota; Metazoa; Chordata; Mammalia; Rodentia; Muridae
Source: RefSeq, a predicted model, not a curated record
ACAACGAGUUUAUGAAAUUCGUAGGCAAAUGGUUGGAACUGGAAAAUAUCAUCCUGAGUGAGCUAACCCAAUCACAGAAAGACAUACAUGGUAUGCACUCAUUGAUAAGUGGCUAUUAGCCCAAAUGCUUGAAUUACGCUGCUCUUGUUACUGACUUCAUUUCUGUUACUCUUUCUGUCAUCCUACAGACUUGAACGAAGGCAUCGACCUUUAGUACAUCUUGAGCCUGCCUGUGUACCUGUCAGUGUGAUGUUUCAGUUCUCAGAUUUUGAAUCAGCGUUGUUUUUUGUUUGUUUUUUUUUUUGUUUGUUUUUUGUUUUUCUGGGUUUCUAGGUUGCUGAGCACAAAAUGAGGAAAUUAUCAGUUUCCGUAAUUACUCAUGUAAGAAUAUAAUAUUCACUUUUCUACUGUGAUAAGACAGCAUGAAAAAGGCAACCCACAGGAGAAAGUGCUGAUUUGGCGCUAACAGUUUCAGAGGCUGAGAGUUUAUAACCAUAUGGCAAGAAGCAUGGCAGCAGGUAAACAGGCAUGGCACGGUAGCGGAGAUUUACAUCUUGAGAAAUAAUCGUAAGACAGUGUUUCCUGAGGAUAAUGUAGACUCCUGCUACUUCCAAUUUUCCCUAGUGAUACGCCUCCUCCGACAACGACAUACCUCUUAAUUUAAUCCCUUUAACCAAUUCCAUCAAUUGGAGAACAGGUACUGAAAAUAUGAGGCUAUGGGGGGCUUUUUUUAAACUAUCAUAGUGUACAUGUGCCUCUUUAAUAUCUCCUAUUGGUUUUUAAGAAACAUCACUGAUAAUUGGAUUCUAUUUUUCCCUCCCUACAUCAGGAAAACUUCAGUAAAAGAUCAAUGACUUUGACUCCUACAUGAGAUUUAUGGCCUUGAUCUUGGCGUUAGUAAAGAACACAAUGUUAGGAUUGACUUCGGUUGCAUGUGAGGAACAGGUCUCCCUCAUGACCCUCUUUUCUGAUAUGUUGAGAAGUUGUAUCAUAGGAUGAGAACUUUUACUUCUACAAACCAAUGAGGACACUUCUAAUUGCUGCAGUGCUAGUGGAGUUUUAUGAAAAUUGAUACAAGUAUUUAUUCUCCUAAUGAGGGAGAUAUCAGUGAAAACCUAGUGAAGGGAGCUAUUACACACAAAUCAUCAAUGAUGGAACUCACAUGUGUCCCUUGUGAAGAGUUUGGCUGUCUGUGUAGAUCUGGCAGCAGUCAGGGAGUUCUAUCAUUCUUUUCAGUCCUAUUUAUGUCAUAGAAAUCUAGAUAUUACAAGCAUAUAAGUUCUCCAGUGCAAUGAAUCUCUACUCAAAUCAUACAGACUGAAUUUAAUGAAAUAAUUUUGAUAUCAACCUCAAGAAAAAAGAUACUCAAACCAAUUAAAAAUUGGUAAAUAAUUAUGAAUACCAAUAGGUUAAAGACAAAGAUUGAAAAUUACAGGAAACACAAACUAUUCAAAUAUCAGUUACAAAAUACCAGAAACAAAGUACAUAAUAUUUUAUUAAAUAGAAAAUGAUAAAGAUAUUAUAAUACAAACUCUUCAGCCUAAAAAGCAUAAACUCUCUAGUGUGCUAAAAGGAUAAUCAUAGAACUAUUUAUAGUUUAAAAUCUAAAUCACAAGGGAAACAUAAAUAUGGAGAAGAUUUCUAUGUCAUUCUUGAACUGUUUUGAAAAAAUCUGCUUCUGGUAAAAUAUAUUAACCUAAAACCAUAAGUAGCCAAACAUUUGGAAAGUUAAACAUAAAGACAUAAGGUGAACAAUUUUACAGAUUUUCAAAAUUUACAUGGGAAUCUUGCUGCUCAUUUUGAUGGAUUUAGAAGGUGGGACAUAUAUAGGUAAUUAAUUCAAUUACCACCUUAGGAUUAAUUUAUAUAUUUAUAAAUCACACACAUACAUACAGCAAUAGACAGGCGUGUGCGCACACACACACACACACACACAUACACACACACACACACACACACACACAGAACACCUCCACUGUCCACAUGUGAGAAUAUAAGAAGCAGGCCUUUGACAGAAUCCAUAUCUGCCCUCCCUAUAAAUUUGAAAUUUCUAGCCUCUACAGCUCUCAGAGAGUUGUGUUGUUUAUAAGUAACUUAGGUUAUAGUAUUCCUGAAUAGAAGUUCACUGAACUAACAUAAUUUCAAAAUAUUAAAUGCCAACCAAAUUCUUAUGCUAGAGGACUAGAGCGAUGGCUUAGCAAGUAAUACUUGUUUCUCUCACAGAAGUUCAGGGUCUUCUAUCAUACACAUCUGUAUCACAACAGACUGUAACUCUCAUUUCAAGGAAUCUGCUAAACUCCAGUUACUAGGAACAGAUAUGUUAUACAUAUAUAGAGGCAAAACAUUCAUAUGCAUAAGAUAAAUAUUUUAAACUGUCACUCUAAAAAUGUUCUAACAUCCAUAGAACUACUAUUUUUUGGAAAAAGUCAAAGCAAAACUCAAUACUAAAAUUCAGAAGAAUAGACAUAAUACCCUACACAGGAAGAAUUAUAUUAAAUACAACUGAAGUAUAUAUAUUCUUCACAAUAAAUAGAUGAAAAUAAGGUUGGCAAGAUGGCUCAGUGAGGAAAAUGCUUGAUGCAAACAUUCAACAAAAGAGUAGUCAGCAAAACAGUAAUGUUCAUAAUAACAUAAAGUAAAAUAAAGUAAUUUGAUUUUAGAAGAAGAAAAGAUUAGACAGAGAGGGGCAAUUACAGUGAUAAACGUGUAAUUCAACUUUCAGAUAAGAAAAUAUUUUGUCAAAAGUGUUCAGGAAACAGUAAUACAGAUACAAUUUUAUUUGCAACUGUUAAAAAGUAAAACUGUUGUCAAUCUAUGAACUGUGUAUAAUCAGUAUUCAUGCUGAGAUUUUCUAAGCGAUGAUAAAAUAAAAUUUAAAAAUUGAAGUAAAAAGGAAUUAUAAUGUGAUGCAAAACGAUAUAUUUGUCAAAGAAAUGGCUAUUAGAUCCAGACUCACAUGGAGAAAUGUUAGGUUUCUUAUCAAAAUUCUAAUAGGGUAUUUGAUAGGAACAGAUUAGAUCGUUCUAGUUCUUUCCCCAACCCUGGAGGAAAAAGUUCACAAUCACUUGUACCUCCAGGUCCCGAGGACCUGACUCCCUUUUCUGGCUGCUGGGCAUAUGUAUUCACAGGUACACGUAUUCAUGCAUGUGCAGAUACAUAUAAACAUGAUUAAAAAAUAAAUAUUUAAAAACAAAAUAAAACAGUAAAUUAAAAUAGAUGUAACUAAGUAACAUUUUUAUGCCUUGCAUUUAUCCUUGUGUGCACUAACAUUUACAACAAGAACUCGAUAUCUUUUCCUUUGUUAUUUUUUUGCUUGGUUAAUAGAAUCUUGAAAGAUUAUUGUGACUUUCAAGGACAUAGGAUAUGUUCCUUUCCCCUUCCAUAUCCUUGAUCAUGCUCUGUUCAAGACAGUGAGAAUUCCACCUCUGCUGUGGUUAGCAGGGCUCAAUGCUUCCUAAGCAGGCGUUAUUAUUUUCCUCGAAUACAUGUCUUCUUAGAUCCCAUUUACCUGUUUGGUUGCUUUAUUCCUUCUACCUUACAUCCACAUCAGGUAUCUUGAAGUUUUGAAACCCAUCUCUCAUUGGGUCACAUAUUGAGGUAUAAAAGCUUUCUCUUAGGACUUGUCCAGUAUUGGGAAGCAAUUGCUUUGUGACAUCCUUCAUGGAACAUUUUAAAGUGAGAAGGAACGCUAGAGUAGAAUGGAAAAAGGUAGCAGCUGUCAAGCCCAAACGCGAUAUGACAGGUACGUGCUGAGAUGGCUGAGGAGCACUGAAUGCUGACUGAAAAGUAAACAGGCUUUUGCCGUGUAGCCUGUGUUGCCCUAAGCUAUCUACACAGCCUAUACCGCUGUUGAAGUGCCUUCAUGGCCUCCCUGGAGACGUCACUUCAGGAUUGAUGGAGUUAAAUAUGUAUGCUGUUAAGCCAGAAACAAAGUUCCUGGAAGAUAAGCUAAGUGAUUACAUUAUGUACUUUUUAUAAAUUGUUAGUGCACUGUGGUAAUA